AGCACAUAUCUUAAGAACCAGAUAUACGUUCAAGCUGAAAAUUUGAUCGAUUGGUUUCAGCUUGAAUGGAUGUCUGGUUCUUCUGAUUUGUGC
Molecule: microRNA precursor, 93 nt
Filed under: Aedes aegypti (yellow fever mosquito)
Lineage: Eukaryota; Metazoa; Arthropoda; Insecta; Diptera; Culicidae
Description: pre miRNA AAEL028984
Source: RNAcentral